This 962-nucleotide long non-coding RNA is filed under the name Pongo abelii (Sumatran orangutan). Its description in RNAcentral is "lincRNA". Lineage: Eukaryota; Metazoa; Chordata; Mammalia; Primates; Hominidae. The record is from RNAcentral.
CAGUUGGGAUUCAGACCUUGACAGUUGUAACUGAUAGACAGGGCUGGGGCAAUGCUGAUGAAAGGCAAAUUCCUGAGAGAAAAAUCACCCAAAGUAAGGAGUUUGGCACUGUAGACUAGAUUCAGCUGCAGGAAUUGUGCACUAGAAAGAUGCAGUGUUUCUUUUUUUUUUGAGACGGAGUCUUGUUCCAGGCUGGAGCACAGUGGCACCAUCUUGGCUCACUGCAACCUCCCUCUCCCGGGUUCACAAGAUUCUCCUGCCUCAGCCUCCUGAGUAGCUGGGAUUACAGGCACCCACCAAGAUGCCCGGCUAAUUUUUAGUAGAGACAGGGUUUCACCGUGUUGACCAGGCUGGUCUCAAACUCCUGACCUCAUGUGAUCUGCCCGCCUCGGCCUCCCAAAGUGCUGGGAUUACAGGUGUGAGCCACUGCGCCCGGCCAAGAUGUGGUGUUUCUAAUGGCAGGCACUUGAACCCAAUUGAACCCUGAGAGCCCCUCUGAGAGGGCUGUGUGUGUUGGGAAUGAGAGAGUUACGAGUUUUUCAGUGCCUUCUCUAGCUUUCUAGAAGUUGUUAUGAGUGGACCUGACUACCUAGAGAGAGUAAUACAGAAGCUCCAUGCCGAUCACAGCUACCUCAUUACCAAGUUCCUCCAAGAUGGCCGCCCCUGAGGAGAAUCAUCAACUGGGCUUUACGGAAGAGAGAAAUCCAAACGACCAUCAGCAACAAAUGAAAGACUGAAGUUGAAAGGAAAUCCAUAAUUUUUGAAUGCUGGCCGAGGUCUGUGACCUCUGACUGAAUGGUUUCCAAGCUCUGAAUUCCUAGGUAUAACACUUGCUGAAGAAAGGAAAAGCUCUCUGAUUUAGGUGUAAGCAAAACAAUCUAAACAGUAGGAUAAAAUCGUGUUGGAGUGGAGUUCUGUGUGAGCGCUGUCUUUGAACCAAAUCAGUUCCACAACUGACCCUG